RNAcentral lists this ribosomal RNA (468 nucleotides) under uncultured bacterium. RNAcentral describes it as "partial 16S ribosomal RNA". It matches the Rfam family "Bacterial small subunit ribosomal RNA", at positions 28 to 507 of the family's 1533-position model. The record is from RNAcentral.
GACGAACGCUGGCGGCGUGCUUAACACAUGCAAGUCGAACGGAAAGGCCCUGCUUUUGUGGGGUGCUCGAGUGGCGAACGGGUGAGUAACACGUGAGUAACCUGCCCUUGACUUUGGGAUAACUUCAGGAAACUGGGGCUAAUACCGGAUAGGAGCUCCUGCUGCAUGGUGGGGGUUGGAAAGUUUCGGCGGUUGGGGAUGGACUCGCGGCUUAUCAGCUUGUUGGUGGGGUAGUGGCUUACCAAGGCUUUGACGGGUAGCCGGCCUGAGAGGGUGACCGGCCACAUUGGGACUAGGAUACGGCCCAGACUCCUACGGGGGGCAGCAGUGGGGAAUAUUGCACAAUGGGCGGAAGCCUGAUGCAGCAACGCCGCGUGCGGGAUGACGGCCUUCGGGUUGUAAACCGCUUUCGCCUGUGACGAAGCGUGAGUGACGGUAAUGGGUAAAGAAGCACCGGCUAACUACGUG